UAAAACGCUAUGAGAAAGUUAAGUAAGUGUUCAGCACCUGUAAGCGAGCUUCGUUUGGUGAGAGGAAGCCAGAGUUGAACAGUGAAAAUCCCUUUUGAGCGACGUACCGAAUUUAAGUAACGUACGUUGGGCACUCCCAUUAUCGAGUUAGCGUAUCGUCCUUGCGACCGUACGUGAAGAGGUUAUUUUAGUGAUAAAAUAACGAUUAUAAGGUGGUACAGUGCAAAAGCACCCUUAGU
This 239-nucleotide non-coding RNA is filed under the name Secundilactobacillus silagei. Its description in RNAcentral is "Lactobacillus silagei T-box sequence". It matches the Rfam family "T-box leader". Rfam says of the family: Uncharged tRNA acts as the effector for transcription antitermination of genes in the T-box leader family. T-boxes are found upstream of many aminoacyl-tRNA synthetase genes and some amino acid biosynthetic genes usually in Gram-positive bacteria. The anticodon of a specific tRNA base pairs to a specifier sequence within the T-box motif, and the NCCA acceptor tail of the tRNA base pairs to a conserved bulge in the T-box antiterminator hairpin. Lineage: Bacteria; Bacillati; Bacillota; Bacilli; Lactobacillales; Lactobacillaceae. The record is from RNAcentral.